This is a long non-coding RNA of Xiphophorus hellerii (green swordtail), 352 nucleotides long. RefSeq lists it as uncharacterized. The record is from RefSeq and is a predicted model, not a curated record. Lineage: Eukaryota; Metazoa; Chordata; Actinopteri; Cyprinodontiformes; Poeciliidae. The transcript is spliced from 2 exons.
UUAAUGUAUUAAAAUAUAUUAUCCUGUUUCUAGUCUCUAAAUGGAUCUCUUCAUCGUUUAUUUUGAAACUUGAUGUGUCGCGACGGUUAACGGAACAAAGAUUAACUCUUGUCCUUUUUCGUCGGCACACAUAGCAGCAACCCAUGGCAGCAACCGAGUUAAAGGGGGUGGAGAUUUAAAGGGCACGCAGGCGGCUGACAGCAUCACUUCCGCCUCCGUCAUCUCGGAAUCAGUGGGAGGAAGCAGAGGAUGAGAUCCGCUGAAGAUGCUCCGUUGCGUCUGUUUUCUUACUUUAUUUUCCUUAAAAUAAAAAAGAAGAAGAAAAAAAGUCAAAUAAAAAAUGUAAACGGAC